RNAcentral lists this transfer RNA (50 nucleotides) under Leptotrombidium pallidum. Its description in RNAcentral is "tRNA-Gly". Lineage: Eukaryota; Metazoa; Arthropoda; Arachnida; Trombidiformes; Trombiculidae. The record is from RNAcentral.
AAGUGAGAAAGAAUAAUUUCCAAUUAAUCAAAGAAUCUUUUCCUCACUUA